GCCGGAGUAGCUCAGUUGGUAGAGCAGAGGACUGAAAAUCCUCGUGUCACCAGU
This 54-nucleotide transfer RNA is filed under the name Rhizogonium distichum. RNAcentral's name for it is "partial tRNA-Phe". It matches the Rfam family "tRNA", at positions 1 to 52 of the family's 71-position model. Rfam says of the family: Transfer RNA (tRNA) molecules are approximately 80 nucleotides in length. The record is from RNAcentral. Lineage: Eukaryota; Viridiplantae; Streptophyta; Bryopsida; Rhizogoniales; Rhizogoniaceae.